GAUGAACGGCUGGCGGCGUGCUUAACACAUGCAAGCCGAACGGAGGUGCCGUUUGAAAGAGGAUUCGUCCAAUUGAUAAGGUUACUUAGUGGCGGACGGGUGAGUAACGCGUGAGGAACCUGCCUCAAAGAGGGGGACAACAGUUGGAAACGACUGCUAAUACCGCAUAAGCCCACGACCCGGCAUCGGGUUGAGGGAAAAGGAGCAAUCCGCUCUGAGAUGGCCUCGCGUCUGAUUAGCUAGUUGGCGGGGUAACGGCCCACCAAGGCGACGAUCAGUAGCCGGACUGAGAGGUUGGCCGGCCACAUUGGGACUGAGACACGGCCCAG
Molecule: ribosomal RNA, 329 nt
Filed under: uncultured bacterium
Lineage: Bacteria
Description: bacterial SSU rRNA
Rfam family: Bacterial small subunit ribosomal RNA
Source: RNAcentral